AGUGAACGCUGGCGGUAGGCCUAACACAUGCAAGUCGAACGGCAGCACAGUAAGAGCUUGCUCUUACGGGUGGCGAGUGGCGGACGGGUGAGGAAUACAUCGGAAUCUACUUUUUCGUGGGGGAUAACGUAGGGAAACUUACGCUAAUACCGCAUACGACCUACGGGUGAAAGCAGGGGAUCUUCGGACCUUGCGCGAUUGAAUGAGCCGAUGUCGGAUUAGCUAGUUGGCGGGGUAAAGGCCCACCAAGGCGACGAUCCGUAGCUGGUCUGAGAGGAUGAUCAGCCACACUGGAACUGAGACACGGUCCAGACUCCUACGGGAGGCAGCAGUGGGGAAUAUUGGACAAUGGGCGCAAGCCUGAUCCAGCCAUACCGCGUGGGUGAAGAAGGCCUUCGGGUUGUAAAGCCCUUUGUUGGGAAAGAAAAGCAGCAGGUUAAUACCCCGCUGUUCUGUCGGUACCCAAAGAAUAAGCACCGGCUAACUUCGUG
Molecule: ribosomal RNA, 491 nt
Filed under: uncultured bacterium
Lineage: Bacteria
Description: partial 16S ribosomal RNA
Rfam family: Bacterial small subunit ribosomal RNA
Source: RNAcentral